This 425-nucleotide ribosomal RNA is filed under the name uncultured bacterium. RNAcentral describes it as "partial 16S ribosomal RNA". It matches the Rfam family "Bacterial small subunit ribosomal RNA", at positions 354 to 796 of the family's 1533-position model. The record is from RNAcentral.
GUGGGGAAUCUUGCACAAUGGGCGAAAGCCUGAUGCAGCCAUGCCGCGUGAAUGAUGAAGGCCUUAGGGUUGUAAAAUUCAUUCGUCAGGGAUGAUAAUGACCGUACCUGAAGAAGAAGCCCCGGCUAACUUCGUGCCAGCAGCCGCGGUAAUACGAAGGGGGCUAGCGUUGUUCGGAAUUACUGGGCGUAAAGCGCACGUAGGCGGACUUUUAAGUCAGGUGUGAAAUCCCGGGGCUCAACCUCGGAACUGCAUUUGAAACUGGAAGUCUUGAGAUCAGGAGAGGUUAGCGGAAUACCGAGUGUAGAGGUGAAAUUCGUAGAUAUUCGGUGGAACACCAGUGGCGAAGGCGGCUAACUGGACUGAUACUGACGCUGAGGUGCGAAAGUGUGGGGAGCAAACAGGAUUAGAAACCCCUGUAGUCC